GCUAGCGUGGUGUAGUGGUUUGAGCAUUGGACUAGGACUCUCCAGACUAGGGUUUGAAUCCCUGCUCAGCC
Molecule: non-coding RNA, 71 nt
Organism: Phrynosoma platyrhinos (Desert horned lizard)
Lineage: Eukaryota; Metazoa; Chordata; Lepidosauria; Squamata; Phrynosomatidae
Source: the annotation of a GenBank genome assembly